Molecule: ribosomal RNA, 497 nt
Filed under: uncultured bacterium
Lineage: Bacteria
Description: partial 16S ribosomal RNA
Rfam family: Bacterial small subunit ribosomal RNA
Source: RNAcentral
GAUGAACGCUGGCGGCGUGCCUAAUACAUGCAAGUCGAGCGAACAGACGAGGAGCUUGCUCCUCUGACGUUAGCGGCGGACGGGUGAGUAACACGUGGAUAACCUACCUAUAAGACUGGGAUAACUUCGGGAAACCGGAGCUAAUACCGGAUAAUAUAUUGAACCGCAUGGUUCAAUAGUGAAAGACGGUUUUGCUGUCACUUAUAGAUGGAUCCGCGCCGCAUUAGCUAGUUGGUAAGGUAACGGCUUACCAAGGCGACGAUGCGUAGCCGACCUGAGAGGGUGACCGGCCACACUGGAGCGGAGACACGGUCCAGACUCCUACGGGAGGCAGCAGUAGGGAAUCUUCCGCAAUGGGCGAAAGCCUGACGGAGCAACGCCGCGUGAGUGAUGAAGGUCUUCGGAUCGUAAAACUCUGUUAUUAGGGAAGAACAAAUGUGUAAGUAACUAUGCACGUCUUGACGGUACCUAAUCAGAAAGCCACGGCUAACUACGUG